GACGAACGCUGGCGGCGUGCUUAACACAUGCAAGUCGAACGGAGUGGCGACUGGGUGAGUAACACGUGGGUGAUCUGCCUUGCACUCUGGGAUAAGCUUGGGAAACUGGGUCUAAUACCGGAUAGUGCAAGAUGAGCUCGCGGCCUAUCAGCUUGUUGGUGGGGUAAUGGCCUUCCAAGGCGUCGACGGGUCGCCGGCCUGAGAGGGUGUACGGCAAAAUUGGGACUUAGAUACGGCCCAGACGCCGACGGGAGGCAGCAGGGGGGAAUCUUGCACAAUGGGCGGAAGCCUGAUGCAGCGACGCCGCGUGGGGGAUGACGGCCUUCGGGUGGUAAACUCCUUUCGACAGGGACGCGGUACCUGUAUAAGAAGCACCGGCUAACUACGUGCCAGCAGCCGCGGUAAUAC
RNAcentral lists this ribosomal RNA (408 nucleotides) under uncultured bacterium. RNAcentral describes it as "partial 16S ribosomal RNA". It matches the Rfam family "Bacterial small subunit ribosomal RNA", at positions 28 to 526 of the family's 1533-position model. The record is from RNAcentral.